CGCAGGAUGGAGAAGGCGAUCUCCACCACGUUGGCGCCGUCGUGCAGCGGGCGUCCCAUGAUGCACUGGUACAUCACCGCUCCCAGCGA
Molecule: transfer RNA, 89 nt
Filed under: Streptomyces reticuli
Lineage: Bacteria; Bacillati; Actinomycetota; Actinomycetes; Kitasatosporales; Streptomycetaceae
Also listed under: 1 other name
Description: tRNA-Ala
Source: RNAcentral